UACGUAGGGGGCAAGCGUUGUCCGGAAUCAUUGGGCGUAAAGCGCGUGUAGGCGGCUCGGUAAGUCCGCUGUGAAAGUCCAGGGCUCAACCCUGGAAUGCCGGUGGAUACUGUCGGGCUAGAGUGCGGAAGAGGCGAGUGGAAUUCCUGGUGUAGCGGUGAAAUGCGCAGAUAUCAGGAGGAACACCUAUUGCGAAGGCAGCUCGCUGGGACGUAACUGACGCUGAGACGCGAAAGCGUGGGGAGCAAACAGG
This 253-nucleotide ribosomal RNA is filed under the name uncultured bacterium. Its description in RNAcentral is "partial 16S ribosomal RNA". It matches the Rfam family "Bacterial small subunit ribosomal RNA", at positions 524 to 776 of the family's 1533-position model. The record is from RNAcentral.